AUUGAACGCUGGCGGCAUGCCUUACACAUGCAAGUCGAACGCGAAAGUAGGGGCAACCCUGCGAGUAGAGUGGCGAACGGGGGAGUAAUGCAUCGGAACAUUUCCAGUAGCGGGGGAUAACCUCGAGAAAUCGAGGCUAAUACCGCAUACGUCCUACGGGAGAAAGCGGGGGACCGCAAGGCCUCGCACUAUUGGAGUGGCCGAUGCCGGAUUAGCUAGUUGGCGGGGUAAAAGCCGACCAAGGCGACGAUCCGUAGCUGGUCUGAGAGGAUGAUCAGCCACACUGGGACUGAGACACGGCCCAGACUCCUACGGGAGGCAGCAGUGGGGAAUUUUGGACAAUGGGCGCAAGCCUGAUCCAGCCAUGCCGCGUGAGUGAAGAAGGCCUUCGGGUUGUAAAGCUCUUUCGGCCGGGACGAAAUCGCACCCUUUAAUACGGGGUGUGGAUGACGGUACCGGAAGAAGAAGGACCGGCUAACUACGUGCCAGCAGCCGCCGUAA
RNAcentral lists this ribosomal RNA (501 nucleotides) under uncultured bacterium. Its description in RNAcentral is "partial 16S ribosomal RNA". It matches the Rfam family "Bacterial small subunit ribosomal RNA", at positions 29 to 523 of the family's 1533-position model. The record is from RNAcentral.